GACGAACGCUGGCGGCGUGCUUAACACAUGCAAGUCGAACGGGCCCGCUCUCUUUUUUGGGGGUGGGUUGAGUGGCGAACGGGUGAGUAUCACGUGAGUAACCUGCCCCCUGCUCCUGGAUAACUGCUUGAAAGGGCGGCUAAUACGGGGUGUGCCGGCUGGUCCGCAUGGGCCUGGUCGGGAUAGUUUCAUCUUCGGGUGUUUCGGUGGGGGAUGGGCUCGCGGCCUAUCAGCUUGUUGGUGGGGUGAUGGCCCACCAAGGCGGUGACGGGUAGCCGGCCUGAGAGGGUGGGCGGCCACACUGGGACUGAGACACGGCCCAGACGCCUGCGGGAGGCAGCAGUGGGGGGUAUUGCACAAUGGGCGGAAGCCUGAUGCAGCGACGUCGCGUGAGGGAUGGAGGCCUUCGGGUUGUGAACCUCUUUCUCCGGUGGUGAAGGCCCUGUCCGUUGCGGCGGGGUUGACGGUAGCCGGGUAUGAAGCGCCGGCUAACCACGUG
Molecule: ribosomal RNA, 499 nt
Filed under: uncultured bacterium
Lineage: Bacteria
Description: partial 16S ribosomal RNA
Rfam family: Bacterial small subunit ribosomal RNA
Source: RNAcentral